Long non-coding RNA from Fukomys damarensis (Damara mole-rat), 451 nucleotides. RefSeq lists it as uncharacterized. The transcript is spliced from 4 exons. NCBI's taxonomy places the organism in Eukaryota, Metazoa, Chordata, Mammalia, Rodentia, Bathyergidae. The record is from RefSeq and is a predicted model, not a curated record.
CUCACUCUUCUCUGAGCUCGUGGUGAGGUCAAGCGAGGUGAGGCCCGAGGCCUGCUCAUCACAGCGGCCCCGGGAAAAGAGCCUCUUCCGAGACCCAGAAGGAAGGCCAAACCACCCGCACCCCCUGCCUCGACACGCCAGCAUCCUGGGCCUGCGGGAUCCGGGGACCACCCAGGCACCCCAGGACACAGGUCUCACCCGAUCCAGUCAGCGAACUCCAGGGCGUUGGGGACAGUGGCACUCAGGAGGAUGAUGGAGACGUGGUCAGGGAGCAUGAUGAGCACCUCCUCCCACACAACCCCGCGCUGGGCACAGGGGAGACAGGUCCCGGAUGACGUCCGAGCCACUGUACAGCAUGGAGCUGCGGAGGAGAGCCGCGGGCUGACUCCCCACUCCGCCCUCACCCUCACCGGAACCCGGCCCCGCCCUCGCCGGAACCCCACCCCAAGCC